RNAcentral lists this ribosomal RNA (426 nucleotides) under uncultured bacterium. RNAcentral describes it as "bacterial SSU rRNA". It matches the Rfam family "Bacterial small subunit ribosomal RNA", at positions 356 to 773 of the family's 1533-position model. The record is from RNAcentral.
GGGGAAUAUUGGACAAUGGGGGGAACCCUGAUCCAGCCAUGCCGCGUGUGUGAAGAAGGCCUUUUGGUUGUAAAGCACUUUAAGCGAGGAGGAGGCUCUUCUGGUUAAUACCUAGAAUGAGUGGACGUUACUCGCAGAAUAAGCACCGGCUAACUCUGUGCCAGCAGCCGCGGUAAUACAGGGGGUGCGAGCGUUAAUCGGAUUUACUGGGCGUAAAGCGUACGUAGGCGGCUUUUUAAGUCGGAUGUGAAAUCCCUGAGCUUAACUUAGGAAUUGCAUUCGAUACUGGGAAGCUAGAGUAUGGGAGAGGAUGGUAGAAUUCCAGGUGUAGCGGUGAAAUGCGUAGAGAUCUGGAGGAAUACCGAUGGCGAAGACAGCCAUCUGGCCUAAUACUGACGCUGAGGUACGAAAGCAUGGGGAGCAAAC